CCUACGGGUGGCAGCAGUGGGGAAUAUUGCACAAUGGGCGCAAGCCUGAUGCAGCCAUGCCGCGUGUGUGAAGAAGGCCUUCGGGUUGUAAAGCACUUUCAGCGGGGAGGAAGGCGUUAAGGUUAAUAACCUUGGCGAUUGACGUUACCCGCAGAAGAAGCACCGGCUAACUCCGUGCCAGCAGCCGCGGUAAUACGGAGGGUGCAAGCGUUAAUCGGAAUUACUGGGCGUAAAGCACACGCAGGCGGUCUGUCAAGUCGGAUGUGAAAUCCCCGGGCUCAACCUGGGAACUGCAUUCGAAACUGGCAGGCUAGAGUCUUGUAGAGGGGGGUAGAAUUCCAGGUGUAGCGGUGAAAUGCGUAGAGAUCUGGAGGAAUACUGGUGGCGAAGGCGGCCCCCUGGACAAAGACUGACGCUCAGGUGCGAAAGCGUGGGGAGCAAACAGGAUUAGAUACCCGAGUAGUC
RNAcentral lists this ribosomal RNA (465 nucleotides) under uncultured Klebsiella sp. RNAcentral's name for it is "bacterial SSU rRNA". It matches the Rfam family "Bacterial small subunit ribosomal RNA", at positions 338 to 795 of the family's 1533-position model. The record is from RNAcentral. Lineage: Bacteria; Pseudomonadati; Pseudomonadota; Gammaproteobacteria; Enterobacterales; Enterobacteriaceae.